GAUCCUGGCUCAGGAUGAACGCUGGCGGCGUGCUUAACACAUGCAAGUCGAACGAAGCACUUAAGAUUGACUCUUCGGAUGAUUUCUUUUGUGACUUAGUGGCGGACGGGUGAGUAGCGCGUGGGUAACCUGCUUCACACAGGGGGAUAACAGUUAGAAAUGACUGCUAAUACCGCAUAACCCGAUAGGAUCGCAUGAUCCAGACGGAAAAGAUUUAUCGGUGUGAGAUGGACCCGCG
This 238-nucleotide ribosomal RNA is filed under the name uncultured bacterium. RNAcentral describes it as "partial 16S ribosomal RNA". It matches the Rfam family "Bacterial small subunit ribosomal RNA", at positions 15 to 235 of the family's 1533-position model. The record is from RNAcentral.